UAGCCAUGUUGUGGACGUGAAUUUAUGAGAUCCUUAAAUCGCUCCUAAAAUUGAAAGAAGUUCUCAUCUUCUUUUUACACAAAAUGUAUUCGUUUUAUGAUAUG
Magnolia sinica is the source of this 104-nucleotide small nucleolar RNA. The record is from RefSeq and is a predicted model, not a curated record. Lineage: Eukaryota; Viridiplantae; Streptophyta; Magnoliopsida; Magnoliales; Magnoliaceae.